CAUGCAAGUCGAACGAUGAACCACUUCGGUGGGGAUUAGUGGCGAACGGGUGAGUAACACGUGGGCAAUCUGCCCUUCACUCUGGGACAAGCCCUGGAAACGGGGUCUAAUACCGGAUAUCACUUCCGCAGGCAUCUGCGGGGGUCGAAAGCUCCGGCGGUGAAGGAUGAGCCCGCGGCCUAUCAGCUUGUUGGUGAGGUAACGGCUCACCAAGGCGACGACGGGUAGCCGGCCUGAGAGGGCGACCGGCCACACUGGGACUGAGACACGGCCCAGACUCCUACGGGAGGCAGCAGUGGGGAAUAUUGCACAAUGGGCGAAAGCCUGAUGCAGCGACGCCGCGUGAGGGAUGACGGCCUUCGGGUUGUAAACCUCUUUCAGCAGGGAAGAAGCGAAAGUGACGGUACCUGCAGAAGAAGCGCCGGCUAACUACGUGCCAGCAGCCGCGGUAAUACGUAGGGCGCAAGCGUUGUCCGGAAUUAUUGGGCGUAAAGAGCUCGUAGGCGGCUUGUCACGUCGGGUGUGAAAGCCCGGGGCUUAACCCCGGGUCUGCAUUCGAUACGGGCUAGCUAGAGUGUGGUAGGGGAGAUCGGAAUUCCUGGUGUAGCGGUGAAAUGCGCAGAUAUCAGGAGGAACACCGGUGGCGAAGGCGGAUCUCUGGGCCAUUACUGACGCUGAGGAGCGAAAGCGUGGGGAGCGAACAGGAUUAGAUACCCU
This 717-nucleotide ribosomal RNA is filed under the name Streptomyces sp. Sp080513GE-15. Its description in RNAcentral is "bacterial SSU rRNA". It matches the Rfam family "Bacterial small subunit ribosomal RNA", at positions 54 to 788 of the family's 1533-position model. The record is from RNAcentral. Lineage: Bacteria; Bacillati; Actinomycetota; Actinomycetes; Kitasatosporales; Streptomycetaceae.